This 77-nucleotide transfer RNA is filed under the name Gammaproteobacteria bacterium. Its description in RNAcentral is "tRNA-Met". It matches the Rfam family "tRNA". Rfam says of the family: Transfer RNA (tRNA) molecules are approximately 80 nucleotides in length. Their secondary structure includes four short double-helical elements and three loops (D, anti-codon, and T loops). The record is from RNAcentral. RNAcentral also lists the same sequence under 4 other names. Lineage: Bacteria; Pseudomonadati; Pseudomonadota; Gammaproteobacteria.
UGCGGGGUGGAGCAGUCUGGUAGCUCGUUGGGCUCAUAACCCAAAGGUCGUAGGUUCAAAUCCUGCCCCCGCUACCA